Molecule: long non-coding RNA, 692 nt
Filed under: Dasypus novemcinctus (nine-banded armadillo)
Lineage: Eukaryota; Metazoa; Chordata; Mammalia; Cingulata; Dasypodidae
Description: lncRNA (ENSDNOG00000051077.1)
Source: RNAcentral
CGCAUGCGCAGUCCGCGCCAGCCCAGUCUUUGGGCCUGCCUGGGGUGGCGACCGCCGCGACCCGUGUUCUCUGCGCCGAUUGGGCCUGUGGAGGCCCCACGGCCAGAGCAGACCCGAGCCUGUGUCACGCGGCAGCCCCUGGCCCUCCCGAGACCAUGAGGUGGGUACCACUGCUUGCUCUGAGGAGCUUUGGAGGUGGCCUCCAUCAGCAAGCCCCUCACCCCCCGUGGAGACCCCAUGCGAUCUGAUCCCCUUGCUGAGUAGUGCUCAUUCAUCCUGCAGCCGUGAACCGACACACUGCCCUGGAGGGUUGUGAAGAGGUUUCCACGAGUGAACACACGUGAGACGCCCAGCAAGAGGUAGCUGAUACUUUCAUUAGGCUGCCUUCCUUUGCUCGCCUUACCUGUGACGUUGCCCUCCUCCUCCUUCUUCUCUGGGACGUGUCCUGACCUCCCAGCAUCCCACUGCCCUGGCAGGGCCCUGCUGGAAGCUAAGCCUGGCUCCAUCUGGGCUCUGGCCCUGCGCCUUUUCCCUUUGCUGAUUUUGCUUUGUAUCCUUUUUCUGUAGUAAAUCACAGCCAUGCAUGUGACUGCCUGCUGAGUCCUAUCAAAUCACCAAACCUGGGUGCGGUCUUGUGGGCCCCAGUACAGCUGCAGCCCCCAGCGCUGAAAUGCCUCCUUCAAAAGCCCAGU